Molecule: transfer RNA, 76 nt
Filed under: Armatimonadota bacterium
Lineage: Bacteria; Bacillati; Armatimonadota
Description: Armatimonadetes bacterium (activated sludge metagenome) tRNA-Arg
Rfam family: tRNA
About the family: Transfer RNA (tRNA) molecules are approximately 80 nucleotides in length. Their secondary structure includes four short double-helical elements and three loops (D, anti-codon, and T loops).
Source: RNAcentral
CCGGACGUAGCUCAAUGGAUAGAGCAUCAGACUUCGGAUCUGAGGGUUGGGGGUUCGAGUCCCUUCGUCCGGGCCA